AACGGCCAUACCGUGCUGAAUAUACCGGUUCUCGUUAGAUCACCGAAGUCAAGCAUCAUUGGGCGCGGUCAGUACUUGGGUGGGUGACCACCUGGGAACACCGCGUGCCGU
This 111-nucleotide ribosomal RNA is filed under the name Caerostris darwini. Lineage: Eukaryota; Metazoa; Arthropoda; Arachnida; Araneae; Araneidae. The record is from RNAcentral.